UACCUACAACUGUUGCUUCGGCGGGUAGGCCGUCCCCUGAAAAGGACGCCUCCCGGCCCGGACCGGACCCCCCGCGGGACCGGACCCGGCGCCCGCCGGAGGAUAACCAAACUCUAUUGUAACGACGUUUCUUCUGAGUGGCAUAAGCAAAAUAAUCAAAACUUUUAACAACGGAUCUCUUGGUUCUGGCAUCGAUGAAGAACGCAGCGAAAUGCGAUAAGUAAUGUGAAUUGCAGAAUUCAGUGAAUCAUCGAAUCUUUGAACGCACAUUGCGCCCGCCAGCAUUCUGGCGGGCAUGCCUGUUCGAGCGUCAUUUCAACCCUCAAGCUCUGCUUGGUGUUGGGGCUCUACGGUCGACGUAGGCCCUCAAAGGUAGUGGCGGACCCUCCCGGAGCCUCCUUUGCGUAGUAACAUUUCGUCUCGCACUGGGAUCCGGAGGGACUCUUGCCGUAAAACCCCCCAAUUUUCCAAAGGUUGACCUCGGAUCAGUAGGAAUACCCGCUGAACUUAAGCAUA
Molecule: ribosomal RNA, 516 nt
Filed under: Colletotrichum karsti
Lineage: Eukaryota; Fungi; Ascomycota; Sordariomycetes; Glomerellales; Glomerellaceae
Description: eukaryotic LSU rRNA
Rfam family: 5.8S ribosomal RNA (bases 160-313)
Source: RNAcentral